This 776-nucleotide ribosomal RNA is filed under the name uncultured Neocallimastigales. Its description in RNAcentral is "partial large subunit ribosomal RNA". It matches the Rfam family "Eukaryotic large subunit ribosomal RNA", at positions 22 to 635 of the family's 3401-position model. Lineage: Eukaryota; Fungi; Neocallimastigomycota; Neocallimastigomycetes; Neocallimastigales. The record is from RNAcentral.
GUACACGCUGUGACUAGCAUAUCAAUAAGCGGAGGAAAAGAAACUAACAAGGAUUCCCCUUAGUAACGGCGAGUGAAGCGGGAAGAGCUCAAAUUUGAAAUCUUCAAGGUUUUACCUUGACGAAUUGUAGUUUAAAGAAGUGUUUUCUGCUGAAGUUUUGGUAAAAGUUCUUUGGAAUAGGACAUCAUAGAGGGUGAGAAUCCCGUAUUUGACCAUUAUUUUCAGCUUUGUGAUACACUUUCAAAGAGUCGGAUUGUUUGGGAAUGCAGUCCAAAAUGGGUGGUAAAUUUCAUCUAAAGCUAAAUAUUGGCGAGAGACCGAUAGCGAACAAGUACCGUGAGGGAAAGAUGAAAAGAACUUUGAAAAGAGAGUUAAACAGUACGUGAAAUUGUCAAAAGGGAAGCGUUUGACACCAGUGUUGUUUUCUCGAAAAUCAAUUAAAAAUGGCUCGAUUUUGUAUUGCUGAGACCUUAAAAGCUCACUGUACAUUUUUCGUGUCUUUUUUAAUGCACUUUUCGUUUAACAAGUCAGCAUCAGUUUCUUUUGUUGUAAAAGGGUCAUUGGAAGGUGGCUUUCUUUUCGGAGAAAGUGUUUAUAGCCUUUGGCCUCUGCAAUCGGAGAGACUGAGGUCUGCAGCGUAGACUCUUCGGGGUUAGAUACAUUUGUGCUAAGUUAGUAGCUUUUUAUAAACAACUUGUUGACUAUAAUUAGUCUUGUAGCUUACUCGCUUAUGCUAUUUUACCUACGCUUAGGAUGUUGAUCUACAGAGCGAGAGU